Molecule: small nuclear RNA, 107 nt
Organism: Arvicola amphibius (Eurasian water vole)
Lineage: Eukaryota; Metazoa; Chordata; Mammalia; Rodentia; Cricetidae
Source: RefSeq, a predicted model, not a curated record
CUUCUCACUUCGGCAGCACAUACAGUAAAAUUGGAAACAUACAGAGAAGAUUAGCAAGGCCUCUGUGCAAGGAUGACACAUAAAUUCGUGAAGCAUUCUAUAUUUUA